UAAAAGAUAAGCUAAUCAAGCUGGAGGGCCCAUACCCCUCUUAUGGCCUUGCCUCUUUUCA
RNAcentral lists this transfer RNA (61 nucleotides) under Gammarus roeselii. Its description in RNAcentral is "tRNA-Met". The record is from RNAcentral. Lineage: Eukaryota; Metazoa; Arthropoda; Malacostraca; Amphipoda; Gammaridae.